Molecule: long non-coding RNA, 317 nt
Organism: Solanum lycopersicum (tomato)
Lineage: Eukaryota; Viridiplantae; Streptophyta; Magnoliopsida; Solanales; Solanaceae
Source: RefSeq, a predicted model, not a curated record
GUUAGUGGAAUUAGUUUAUUUAUUUUACUUAAUUAACAUUAGAAGGGCAGAAAAUAAAAAGGGUUACAAAAUACUGCAAACGUGAGGAACAAAGCGAAGCGGAAGAUCGUGAGCAUUCCGAAACUUUGCGAAAAGGGAAGGAACUAUCUUGAAGAUUUGUGGCACGAGGUUCGCCUCUUAAGAUUCGAUUCCGAGUAGGAGCACAUCUCGUGGAGCAAAUUGAGUCCGAGCUUGGAGUUUUUUUGGAGUCGUGGUGAGCUGCUUGGCUGUUCCGUGGCCCACACCUCCCUCUAUCUUUUAUUUAUUUUGUUAUUAGU